Molecule: ribosomal RNA, 293 nt
Filed under: uncultured bacterium
Lineage: Bacteria
Description: partial 16S ribosomal RNA
Rfam family: Archaeal small subunit ribosomal RNA
Source: RNAcentral
GUGCCAGCAGCCGCGGUAAUACCGGCAGCCCGAGUGAUGGCCGAUCUUAUUGGGCCUAAAGCGUCCGUAGCUGGCCGCGCAAGUCCAUCGGGAAAUCCACCCGCCCAACGGGUGGCCGUCCGGUGGAAACUGCACGGCUUGGGACCGGAAGGCGCGACGGGUACGUCCAGGGUAGGAGUGAAAUCCUGUAAUCCUGGACGGACCACCGGUGGCGAAAGCGCCUUCGGAAGACGGAUCCGACAGUGAGGGACGAAAGCUAGGGUCUCGAACCGGAUUAGAUACCCCGGUAGUCC